AUGAAGGAUUUUUUAAAAUCCACAAUGUUCUGCAAUAAAGCCAUGU
This is a non-coding RNA of Oryzias latipes (Japanese medaka), 46 nucleotides long. The record is from Rfam. Lineage: Eukaryota; Metazoa; Chordata; Actinopteri; Beloniformes; Adrianichthyidae.